RNAcentral lists this ribosomal RNA (992 nucleotides) under uncultured eukaryote. RNAcentral's name for it is "SSU rRNA". It matches the Rfam family "Eukaryotic small subunit ribosomal RNA", at positions 795 to 1831 of the family's 1831-position model. The record is from RNAcentral.
CCGAAUACAUUAGCAUGGGAUAAUAGAAUAGGACUAGAGACUAUUUAUUGGUUUAAGGCCUUAGUAAUGAUUAAUAGGAACAGUCGGGGGCAUUAGUACUUGACAGUCAGAGGUGAAAUUCUAGGAUUUGUCAAAGACUAACUAAUGCGAAAGCAUUUGCCAAGCAUGUUUUCAUUAAUCAAGAACGAAAGUUAAGGGAUCAAAGACGAUUAGAUACCGUCGUAGUCUUAACUAUAAACUAUACCGACUCGGAAUUGGACAAUUUAUUUUUGAUUGUUCAGCGCCGUAAGAGAAAUCAAAGUCUUUGGGUUCUUGGUGGAGUACGAUCGCAAGAUUGAAACUUAAAGGAAUUGACGGUUUUGCACCACCAUGGAGUGGAGCCUGCGGCUUAAUUUGACUCAACACGGGAAAACUUAUCAGGGUAAAAAGGUAUUGGGAUUGACAGAUUGAGAGUUCUUUCUUGAUUUAUCUAAUGGUGGUGCAUGGCCGUUCUUAGUUGGUGGAGUGAUUUGUCUGGUUAAUUCCGUUAACGAACGAGACCUUAACCUACUAACUAGUAUCUUGUUCUUCAACAAGACUGCUUCUUAGAGGGACAACGUGUUGUAAACACAUGGAAGUUUAAGGCAAUAACAGGUCUGUGAUGCCCUUAGAUACCCUGAGCCGCACGCGCGCUACAAUGACACUUUCAUCAAGUAUCUGCUGAUCCGAAAGGAUUCCGGCUAAUCUUUUUAGUGAGUGUCGUGCUAGGGAUAGAUCUUUGUAAUUGUGGAUCUUGAACGAGGAAUUCCUAGUAAGCAUGGUUCAUUAGACCAUGCUGAUUACGUCCCUGCAAAAUGUACACAUCGCCCGUCGCUUGCUCCGAUUGAGUAAUCUGGUGAGCCUUCUGGACCAAGCAGUUUGCUGCAAGGGAAAUUAAGCAAACCAUAUUACUUAGAGGAUGAAGAAGUCGUAACAAAGUUUCCGUAGGUGAACCUGCAGAAGGAUCAAAUCGA